UACAUAUGGGGCAAGCGUUGUUCGGAAUUACUGGGCAUAAAGGGUGCGUAGGUGGUUGAGUAAGUCGGUGGUGAAAUCCUUCGGCCUAACCGGAGAACGGCCAUUGAUACUGCUCGACUUGAGUGCGUGAGGGGUAGCUGGAACGAGUGGUGUAGCGGUGAAAUGCGUAGAUAUCACUCGGAACACCCAAGGCGAAGGCAGGCUACUGGUACGCAACUGACACUGAGGCACGAAAGCGUGGGGAGCAAACAGG
Molecule: ribosomal RNA, 253 nt
Filed under: uncultured bacterium
Lineage: Bacteria
Description: partial 16S ribosomal RNA
Rfam family: Bacterial small subunit ribosomal RNA
Source: RNAcentral